CACCGCGGUUAUACGAGGGGCUCAAGUUGACACUUUUUUCGGCGUAAAGCGUGAUUAAGGACUAUAAUAAACUAAAGCCAAACACCUCCCAAGCUGUCAUACGCAAUCGGAGGCAGGAGGCCCCCCAACGAAAGUAGCUUUAAUAAACAAAUCUUGAAUUCACGACAGUUAAGGAA
RNAcentral lists this ribosomal RNA (176 nucleotides) under Synaphobranchus affinis (grey cutthroat). Its description in RNAcentral is "partial 12S rRNA". The record is from RNAcentral. Lineage: Eukaryota; Metazoa; Chordata; Actinopteri; Anguilliformes; Synaphobranchidae.